AUUGAACGCUGGCGGCAGGCCUAACACAUGCAAGUCGCGCGAGCGGCGGACGGGUGAGUAAUGUAUGGGGACUGCCCGAUAGAGGGGGAUAACUACUGGAAACGGUAGCUAAUACCGCAUACUAUCGGAUAACCCAUAUGGGAUUAGCUAGUAGGUGAGGUAAUGGCUCACCUAGGCGACGAUCCCUAGCUGGUCUGAGAGGAUGAUCAGCCACACGGGGACUGAGACACGGCCCAGCGUCCUACGGAGGCAGCAGUGGGGAAUAUUGGACAAGGGGGGAAAGCCUGAUCCAGCCAUGCCGCGUGUAUGAUGAAGGCCUUAGGGUUGUAAAGUACUUUUAGCCGGGAGGCGGUAUCGACAGAAGAAGCACCGGCUAACUCCGUGCCAGCCGCCGCGGUAAUUC
RNAcentral lists this ribosomal RNA (403 nucleotides) under uncultured bacterium. RNAcentral describes it as "partial 16S ribosomal RNA". It matches the Rfam family "Bacterial small subunit ribosomal RNA", at positions 30 to 526 of the family's 1533-position model. The record is from RNAcentral.